RNAcentral lists this ribosomal RNA (278 nucleotides) under uncultured Solobacterium sp. Its description in RNAcentral is "partial 16S ribosomal RNA". It matches the Rfam family "Bacterial small subunit ribosomal RNA", at positions 88 to 354 of the family's 1533-position model. Lineage: Bacteria; Bacillati; Bacillota; Erysipelotrichia; Erysipelotrichales; Erysipelotrichaceae. The record is from RNAcentral.
CGAAGGAGUGGCGAACGGGUGGAGUAAUACAUAAGCAACCUACCCACCGAAGAACUGGGAGUAAUCUCUGGAAACGGGGGACGUAAUACCGGAUAGGUAAUCGGAAGGCAUCUUCUGGUUAUUAAAGGUUAAAAAACAACUGGUGGAUGGGCUUAUGGCGCAUUAGUUAGUUGGUGAGGUAACGGCCCACCAAGACGAUGAUGCGUAGCCGGCCUGAGAGGGUGAACGGCCACAUUGGGACUGAGACACGGCCCAGACUCCUACGGGAGGCAGCAGAG